Molecule: long non-coding RNA, 316 nt
Organism: Camelina sativa (false flax)
Lineage: Eukaryota; Viridiplantae; Streptophyta; Magnoliopsida; Brassicales; Brassicaceae
Source: RefSeq, a predicted model, not a curated record
UAAAAAAAAAAAUUGAAUCAACAUCAUUGAUCGGAUUAAUCUGAUAAUCUCUGAGGCAAUGAUCUUUUCAGUUCGGAAUCCCAGUAAAAACUUCAUCAGCAUAUUUAUCCGAAAAUCAAUCUUUUUUUAAUUCUCCGAUUACACAAAAUUGAUCGGAAUAAUCCGAUAUUCUGUCUUGUUGUAAUUCUCAGAUUUCGACAUCAAUGGAUAAGUAAGAUUAGGUGUGGAUUCCAAACGUAUUCGAUCGAAUAUGGGUCUUCUUUACCAGGAAAACAAAUAAAAGAAGCCUAAAUGAAAGAUAAGGAUCCAGAACCCC